This 1394-nucleotide ribosomal RNA is filed under the name uncultured Actinomyces sp. RNAcentral describes it as "bacterial SSU rRNA". It matches the Rfam family "Bacterial small subunit ribosomal RNA". Lineage: Bacteria; Bacillati; Actinomycetota; Actinomycetes; Actinomycetales; Actinomycetaceae. The record is from RNAcentral.
UAGAGUUUGAUCCUGGCUCAGGAUGAACGCUGGCGGCGUGCCUAACACAUGCAAGUCGAGCGGGGUUUACGGAGCAGCUUGCUGCACUGUAAACCUAGCGGCGGACGGGUGAGUAACGCGUGGGCAACCUGCCUUACACAGGGGGAUAACACUGGGAAACUAGUGCUAAUACCGCAUAACAUCAUUUUAUGGCAUCAUGAGAUGAUCAAAGGAGCAAUCCGGUGUAAGAUGGGCCCGCGUCCGAUUAGCUAGUUGGUGAGGUAACGGCUCACCAAGGCAGCGAUCGGUAGCCGAACUGAGAGGUUGGUCGGCCACAUUGGGACUGAGACACGGCCCAGACUCCUACGGGAGGCAGCAGUGGGGAAUAUUGCACAAUGGGCGCAAGCUUGAUGCAGCGACGCCGCGUGAGGGAUGAGGGCCUUCGGGUUGUAAACCUCUUUCGCUGGGUUGAAAGGCCAUGCUUUGGGUGUGGUUGAUUUGAACUGGUAAAGAAGUACCGGCUAACUACGUGCCAGCAGCCGCGGUAAUACGUAGGGUACUAGCGUUGUCCGGAUUUAUUGGGCGUAAAGGGCUUGUAGGUGGUUUGUCGCGUCUGUCGUGAAAUCCUGUGGCUUAACCAUGGGCUUGCGGUGGGUACGGGCAGGCUUGAGUGCGGUAGGGGAGACUGGAAUUCCUGGUGUAGCGGUGGAAUGCGCAGAUAUCAGGAGGAACACCGGUGGCGAAGGCGGGUCUCUGGGCCGUUACUGACGCUGAGGAGCGAAAGCGUGGGGAGCGAACAGGAUUAGAUACCCUGGUAGUCCAUGCUGUAAACGUUGGGCACUAGGUGUGGGGACCUUGUGGUUUCUGCGCCGUAGCUAACGCAUUAAGUGUCCCGCCUGGGGAGUACGGCCGCAAGGCUAAAACUCAAAGGAAUUGACGGGGACCCGCACAAGCGGCGGAGCAUGCGGAUUAAUUCGAUGCAACGCGAAGAACCUUACCAAGGCUUGACAUGCACCGGUACAGUGUAGAGAUAUGCUGGCCUUUUUUGGCUGGUGUGCAGGUGGUGCAUGGUUGUCGUCAGCUCGUGUCGUGAGAUGUUGGGUUAAGUCCCGCAACGAGCGCAACCCUUGUCUCGUGUUGCCAGCAUUUGGUUGGGGACUCUCGGGAGACUGCCGGGGUUAACUCGGAGGAAGGUGGGGAUGACGUCAAAUCAUCAUGCCCCUUAUGUCUUGGGCUUCACGCAUGCUACAAUGGAUGGUACAGAGGGUUGCGAUACUGUGAGGUGGAGCUAAUCCCUUAAAGCUGUUCUCAGUUCGGAUCGUAGUCUGCAACUCGACUACGUGAAGGUGGAGUCGCUAGUAAUCGCAGAUCAGCAACGCUGCGGUGAAUACGUUCUCGGGUCUUGUACACACCGC